UACGUAGGGUGCGAGCGUUAAUCGGAAUUACUGGGCGUAAAGCGUGCGUAGACGGUUAUUUAAGUCGGGUGUGAAAGCCCCGGGCUCAACCUGGGAAUUGCAUUCGAGACUGAAUAGCUAGGGUACGGUAGAGGGAAGUGGAAUUUCCGGUGUAGCGGUGAAAUGCGUAGAUAUCGGAAGGAACACCUGUGGCGAAAGCGGCUCACUGGACCACAACUGACGCUGAGGAGCGAAAGCAUGGGGAGCGAACAGG
Molecule: ribosomal RNA, 253 nt
Filed under: uncultured bacterium
Lineage: Bacteria
Description: partial 16S ribosomal RNA
Rfam family: Bacterial small subunit ribosomal RNA
Source: RNAcentral